Molecule: microRNA precursor, 57 nt
Filed under: Oryctolagus cuniculus (rabbit)
Lineage: Eukaryota; Metazoa; Chordata; Mammalia; Lagomorpha; Leporidae
Description: microRNA ocu-mir-100 precursor
Gene: ocu-mir-100
Rfam family: mir-10 microRNA precursor family
About the family: In this case the mature sequence comes from the 5' arm of the precursor. The extents of the hairpin precursors are not generally known and are estimated based on hairpin prediction.
Source: miRBase by way of RNAcentral
AACCCGUAGAUCCGAACUUGUGGUGAUAGUCCACACAAGCUUGCGUCUAUAGGUCUG